RNAcentral lists this ribosomal RNA (253 nucleotides) under uncultured bacterium. Its description in RNAcentral is "partial 16S ribosomal RNA". It matches the Rfam family "Bacterial small subunit ribosomal RNA", at positions 524 to 776 of the family's 1533-position model. The record is from RNAcentral.
UACGUAGGGUCCGAGCGUUGUCCGGAUUUACUGGGCGUAAAGAGCGCGCAGGCGGUCGUUCAAGUCGCGUGUGAAAGCCCCCGGCUCAACUGGGGAGGGUCACGCGAUACUGAUCGACUCGAAGGCAGGAGAGGGUAGUGGAAUUCCCGGUGUAGUGGUGAAAUGCGUAGAUAUCGGGAGGAACACCAGUGGCGAAGGCGACUACCUGGCCUGUUCUUGACGCUGAGGCGCGAAAGCUAGGGGAGCAAACGGG